This 445-nucleotide ribosomal RNA is filed under the name Rhizophagus irregularis. RNAcentral's name for it is "SSU rRNA". It matches the Rfam family "Eukaryotic small subunit ribosomal RNA", at positions 1357 to 1820 of the family's 1831-position model. The record is from RNAcentral. Lineage: Eukaryota; Fungi; Glomeromycota; Glomeromycetes; Glomerales; Glomeraceae.
AGCUAGGCCUAACAUUGUUAGGUCGCCAGCUUCUUAGAGGGACUAUCGGUGUUUAACCGAUGGAAGUUUGAGGCAAUAACAGGUCUGUGAUGCCCUUAGAUGCUCUGGGCCGCACGCGCGCUACACUGAUGAAGUCAUCGAGUUCAUUUCCUUUAUCGGAAGAUAUGGGUAAUCUUUUGGAACUUCAUCGUGCUGGGGAUAGAGCAUUGCAACUAUUGCUCUUGAACGAGGAAUCCCUAGUAAGUACAAGUCACUAACUUGUGCUGAUUACGUCCCUGCCCUCUGUACACACCGCCCGUCGCUACUACCGAUUGAAUGGCUUAGUGAGGCCUUCGGAUUGAAAUUCGGAGACUGGCAACAGACUCUUGGUUUUGAAAAGUUGGACAAACUUGGUCAUUUAGAGGAAGUAAAAGUCGUAACAAGGUUUCCGUAGGUGAACCUGCGG